UGCCAGACUCCUACGGGAGGCAGCAGUGGGGAAUAUUGCACAAUGGGGGAAACCCUGAUGCAGCGACGCCGCGUGAGCGAUGAAGUAUUUCGGUAUGUAAAGCUCUAUCAGCAGGGAAGAAAAUGACGGUACCUGACUAAGAAGCCCUGGCUAACUACGUGCCAGCAGCCGCGGUAAUACGUAGGGGGCAAGCGUUAUCCGGAUUUACUGGGUGUAAAGGGAGCGUAGACGGCAAUGCAAGCCAGAUGUGAAAGCCCGGGGCUCAACCCCGGGACUGCAUUUGGAACUGUGUAGCUGGAGUGUCGGAGAGGCAGGCGAAAUUCCUAGUGUAGCGGUGAAAUGCGUAGAUAUUAGGAGGAACACCAGUGGCGAAGGCGGCCUGCUGGACGAUGACUGACGUUGAGGCUCGAAAGCGUGGGGAGCAAACAGGAUUAGAUACCCGCGUACG
Molecule: ribosomal RNA, 448 nt
Filed under: uncultured bacterium
Lineage: Bacteria
Description: bacterial SSU rRNA
Rfam family: Bacterial small subunit ribosomal RNA
Source: RNAcentral